AAGAUCGCGGCAAUGGAUCCAAAUGCCGCUUAGUUCCGGAAUUGCUUGGACACGUCCGCUUUCCAUUCCACUCACUCCUCACCGCUUUCCUUUCUCCCCAUUGCACUGCCUUCGUUUCCGCAUCCAAAGCCUGCAACGGCAACGGCAACGGCAACACCCCCAUUUCUGAACCGCUUCCAUCUCCUUCCGACGGACUCGCUGCCUCUGGACUCAACCUCACUCCCAAUGGCUCUGUCGCAGCCGUCGCCGUCGGCUUCCACGUUUCCAGUUCGCGAAGACUGUUGGACUUUGGACGAUACUUCCACUCUCGUCUAUGCCUGGGGCGAACGUCAUCUCGACUUGAACCGCGGCAGCCUUAGGUAUAAACACUGGCAAGAGGUCGCCGACGCUGUCAACUCCUGUCAUAAUCAUGAGAGGAAGUCAAUUCGUACGGCUAUUCAGUGUAAAAACCGUAUCGAUACGCUUAAGAGGAAGUACAAGAUCGAGAAGGCGAGAAUUCAAGAAUCCGGUGGAACGUACGUCAGCGCUUGGCCGUUCUUCUCUUGUCUCGACAGUCUUAUAGGCGGCAACAGCCAUAAGUCUUCGACGCCGGCCGCCGUUUCUUACUGUAAAGCCUUGACAGCCACGACUCCAGGGUUGUCGCUGUUCCCGAAAAUUCCGGUUGGUCCUCGAUCCGGGACUAAGAAACGUCGUUUGAGUCACGUCUACGGGAGUUUCUGCAAUUCGCACCUUAGCCAGGAUUUAAACUCGAAACACGAUGAAGGAAAAGACGGUAUGUAUUCCGAGAAUCAUUUCUCGAGUCCGAGGUUCAAGGACCGAGACGUAGGGUACCGGAAACUGGCUGACGCAAUAGGGACGAUUGCCGAUAUAUUUGAGAGAGUGGAGGUAGCAAAACAGAGACACAUGGUAGAAUUGGAGAUGCAGCGGAUGCAGUUCGUGAAGGAUUUGGAGUAUCAGAGAAUGCAACUACUCAUGGAGAUGCACCUUCAGAUGCAAAAAAUCAAGUGCUCCAGGCGAGAUUCAGGAGCUGGAAUCAAGAGGAUGGACUCCAUUGGAAGAUCUUCUUUGACAUGGUCAUCCACAAACUUUGAAGAAGAUUGUUACUCGUAGUCGACAACGUAGCAAAGACGCAAAGACUUCUUUUAUCCGAACGAGAGAAAAAGUAGUACAUACAUGGCGGUUUAGCUCUUUUUUUCUAAAAAAAAGCACACAUCCUCUCACCCUUGAUGCUGGUUCCAAACUCUCAUGAUUUUCAGCUUGUUUUGGGCGAAGGAUUUUGUGGAGCUGAGGUUUGGAUUAACCAGCAUUUCUUGUGAAGCUUCCAACAUCUUAACGUAGUGGGCAAAGGAAACUACUUUUUACUUUCCCGUAAUGGGUAAUGGUGUCGACAAAGGAUACAGAGCUUGCAGAACAACAGACAAAGAGGAAAUAGAGAGUAGAAAAUUGAAGCAAAAUAAAUAUUUGGCUCAUCCAAAAGUUAUUAGACUACAGUUUGGUCUCGCUCGGUUGGAUGUAUGAGAGAAAUUACUUAACUUGUUAGCUACCGUACUGCACAGGUUGAAAUGCACAGCAUCUAAGGGCGAGGACUAUUGGGGUAUCUAAUCAUAUUCGCUUUCCUAGCUUUUGUCUUUCAGUGUCGGUUUAGUAAAGUGCUUUCACCGUCGUUGUAUCUUUUCGAUC
Cucurbita pepo subsp. pepo (vegetable marrow) is the source of this 1680-nucleotide non-coding RNA. The record is from RefSeq and is a predicted model, not a curated record. NCBI's taxonomy places the organism in Eukaryota, Viridiplantae, Streptophyta, Magnoliopsida, Cucurbitales, Cucurbitaceae.